CAGGUUUACCUGUGUGACUGCGUACCUUUUGUAUAAUGGGUCAGCGACUUAUAUUCUGUAGCAAGGUUAACCGAAUAGGGGAGCCGGAGGGAAACCGAGUCUUAAUUGGGCGUUAAGUUGCAGGGUAUAGACCCGAAACCCGGUGAUCUAGCCAUGGGCAGGUUGAAGGUUGGGUAACACUAACUGGAGGACCGAACCGACUAAUGUUGAAAAAUUAGCGGAUGACCUGUGGCUGGGGGUGAAAGGCCAAUCAAACCGGGAGAUAGCUGGUUCUCCCCGAAAGCUAUUUAGGUAGCGCCUCGUGAAUUCAUCUCCGGGGGUAGAGCACUGUUUCGGCUAGGGGGCCAUCCCGGCUUACCAACCCGAUGCAAACUGCGAAUACCGGAGAAUGUUAUCACGGGAGACACACGGCGGGUGCUAACGUCCGUCGUGAAGAGGGAAACAACCCAGACCGCCAGCUAAGGUCCCAAAGUCAUGGUUAAGUGGGAAACGAUGUGGGAAGGCCCAGACAGCCAGGAUGUUGGCUUAGAAGCAGCCAUCAUUUAAAGAAAGCGUAAUAGCUCACUGGUCGAGUCGGCCUGCGCGGAAGAUGUAACGGGGCUAAACCAUGCACCGAAGCUGCGGCAGCGACACUCAGGUGUUGUUGGGUAGGGGAGCGUUCUGUAAGCCUGUGAAGGUGUGCUGUGAGGCAUGCUGGAGGUAUCAGAAGUGCGAAUGCUGACAUAAGUAACGAUAAAGCGGGUGAAAAGCCCGCUCGCCGGAAGACCAAGGGUUCCUGUCCAACGUUAAUCGGGGCAGGGUGAGUCGACCCCUAAGGCGAGGCCGAAAGGCGUAGUCGAUGGGAAACGGGUUAAUAUUCCCGUACUUGGUGUUACUGCGAAGGGGGGACGGAGAAGGCUAUGUUGGCCGGGCGACGGUUGUCCCGGUUUAAGCGUGUAGGUGUGUGUUCCAGGUAAAUCCGGUU
This 964-nucleotide ribosomal RNA is filed under the name Salmonella enterica subsp. enterica serovar Bukavu. RNAcentral's name for it is "partial 23S ribosomal RNA". It matches the Rfam family "Bacterial large subunit ribosomal RNA", at positions 580 to 1547 of the family's 2925-position model. Lineage: Bacteria; Pseudomonadati; Pseudomonadota; Gammaproteobacteria; Enterobacterales; Enterobacteriaceae. The record is from RNAcentral.